RNAcentral lists this ribosomal RNA (87 nucleotides) under Platanthera chlorantha. RNAcentral's name for it is "partial 5.8S ribosomal RNA". It matches the Rfam family "5.8S ribosomal RNA", at positions 73 to 154 of the family's 154-position model. From Rfam's summary of the family: 5.8S ribosomal RNA (5.8S rRNA) is a component of the large subunit of the eukaryotic ribosome. It is transcribed by RNA polymerase I as part of the 45S precursor that also contains 18S and 28S rRNA. Lineage: Eukaryota; Viridiplantae; Streptophyta; Magnoliopsida; Asparagales; Orchidaceae. RNAcentral also lists the same sequence under 4 other names. The record is from RNAcentral.
UGCAGAAUCCCGUGAACCAUCGAGUUUUUGAACGCAAGUUGCGCCUGAGGCCAGCUGGCCAAGGGCACGUCCGCCUGGGCGUCAAGC